GUUUUAGCAAAGAGAAUGGCAGCAUUUUGU
This 30-nucleotide non-coding RNA is filed under the name Homo sapiens (human). The record is from RNAcentral. Lineage: Eukaryota; Metazoa; Chordata; Mammalia; Primates; Hominidae.